GACGAACGCUGGCGGCGUGCCUAAUACAUGCAAGUCGAGCGAGCGGAACUAACAGAUUUACUUCGGUAAUGACGUUAGGAAAGCGAGCGGCGGAUGGGUGAGUAACACGUGGGGAACCUGCCCCAUAGUCUGGGAUACCACUUGGAAACAGGUGCUAAUACCGGAUAAGAAAGCAGAUCGCAUGAUCAGCUUUUAAAAGGCGGCGUAAGCUGUCGCUAUGGGAUGGCCCCGCGGUGCAUUAGCUAGUUGGUAAGGUAAAGGCUUACCAAGGCGAUGAUGCAUAGCCGAGUUGAGAGACUGAUCGGCCACAUUGGGACUGAGACACGGCCCAAACUCCUACGGGAGGCAGCAGUAGGGAAUCUUCCACAAAGGACGCAAGUCUGAUGGAGCAACGCCGCGUGAGUGAAGAAGGUUUUCGGAUCGUAAAGCUCUGUUGUUGGUGAAGAAGGAUAGAGGUAGUAACUGGCCUUUAUUUGACGGUAAUCAACCAGAAAGUCACGGCUAACUACGUG
RNAcentral lists this ribosomal RNA (512 nucleotides) under uncultured bacterium. RNAcentral describes it as "partial 16S ribosomal RNA". It matches the Rfam family "Bacterial small subunit ribosomal RNA", at positions 28 to 507 of the family's 1533-position model. The record is from RNAcentral.